This 506-nucleotide ribosomal RNA is filed under the name uncultured bacterium. Its description in RNAcentral is "partial 16S ribosomal RNA". It matches the Rfam family "Bacterial small subunit ribosomal RNA", at positions 30 to 523 of the family's 1533-position model. The record is from RNAcentral.
AUUGAACGCUAACGGCAUGCUUAACACAUGCAAGUCGAACGGCAGCACAGCAGUAGCAAUACUGUGGGUGGCGAGUGGCGGACGGGUGAGUAAUGUAUAGGAAUCUGCCUUGUAGUGGGGGAUAACCUGGGGAAACUCGGGCUAAUACCGCAUAAUCUUUACGAAGCAAAGCGGGGGAUCGUAAGACCUUGCGCUAUAAGAUGAGCCUAUAUUGGAUUAGCUAGUUGGUGGGGUAAAGGCCUACCAAGGCGACGAUCCAUAGCUGGUCUGAGAGGAUGAUCAGCCACACUGGGACUGAGACACGGCCCAGACUCCUACGGGAGGCAGCAGUGGGGAAUAUUGGACAAUGGGGGAAACCCUGAUCCAGCAAUGCCGUGUGUGUGAAGAAGGCCUUCGGGUUGUAAAGCACUUUUAGUGGGAAAGAAAAGCUCAAAGCUAAUAACUUUGAGCCUUGACGUUACCCACAGAAAAAGCACUGGCUAACUCUGUGCCAGCCGCCGCCGUAA